RNAcentral lists this ribosomal RNA (382 nucleotides) under uncultured bacterium. Its description in RNAcentral is "bacterial SSU rRNA". It matches the Rfam family "Bacterial small subunit ribosomal RNA", at positions 28 to 418 of the family's 1533-position model. The record is from RNAcentral.
GACGAACGCUGGCGGCGGGCUUAACACAUGCAAGUCGAACGAACGCCUUCGGGCGUUAGUGGCGCACGGGUGAGUAACACGUAGGCAAUCUACCCUCGGCUGGGGAAUAACCAGGGGAAACCCUGGCUAAUACCGCAUAACAUCUGGACGUCGCCUGGCGACCAGAUCAAAGCUUUAUGUGGCCGAGGAUGAGCCUGCGUCGGAUUAGCUAGUUGGUGGGGUAACGGCCUACCAAGGCGACGAUCCGUAGCGGGUCUGAGAGGAUGAUCCGCCACACUGGCACUGAGACACGGGCCAGACUCCUACGGGAGGCAGCAGUGAGGAAUAUUGCGCAAUGGACGAAAGUCUGACGCAGCCACGCCGCGUGCAGGAAGACACCCCU